GGGUACUUAUGCCCAUACGCUUUGCGAGCUAACUCCCGACAGUAGAGUGCUACGCAGGUGAGUCACUGUUCAGUGAUGAUGUACUCCUACAUCUCACCUGUAUGCCAUACAGUGUCUCCACACUUCUUGGUUUAAGAGGACAAUCAACUAAAUGACACACAACGACCUAUACUUGACAUAGCUAUUGUCCAAUUGACAGCUCAUCAUUUGGUCGCGAACUGGUUUAAGGACUAAAUGAUAAAACCUCUUUAUCCACUAAAUUAGUCCUAAGGACUUCAUCACAAUACACAGGAG
This 294-nucleotide long non-coding RNA is filed under the name Phoenix dactylifera (date palm). RNAcentral's name for it is "long non-coding RNA (PDAC_LNC014049)". Lineage: Eukaryota; Viridiplantae; Streptophyta; Magnoliopsida; Arecales; Arecaceae. The record is from RNAcentral.